GUUAUUUAGCUUCCAUGUAUUUGUGUUCUUUCCAGAUUUUUUUGUAAUUGAUUUAUACAUUCAUACCAUUGUGGUCAGAGAAGAGGCAUGAUAUGAUUUCAGUUCUUUUUGAAAUUGUUGGGACUUAUUUUGCGGCCUAACGUGAUCUGUUCUGGAGAAUGUCCCAUGUGCCCUUGAAAACAAUAUUUAUUCUUUUGUUUUGGGAUAGAAUGUUCUGAAUAUACUUAUUAGAUCCAUCUAGUCCAAUGUGUCAUUCAAAGCCACUGUUUGUAUGUUGAUUUUCUGUCUGGAUGAUCUAUCCAUUGAUAUAAAUGGGGUAUUAAAGUCCCCUAAUAUUAUUUUAUUACGGUAAGUUUUUUUCUUUAAUAUCUUUCAAUAGUUGCUUUAUGUAUUAGGUACUUCUGUGUUGGGUACAUACAUUUUUUUAUUUUUUAUUUUUUUAAAUUUUUAACAUUCAUUUUUGAGAGAGAGAGCAUGAGUGGGGGAGGGUAGAGAGAGAGGGAGACAUAGAAUCCGAAGCAGGCUCCAGGCUCUGAGUUGUCAGCACAGAGCCCCGACGCAGGGCUCGAACUCAUGGACUGUGAGAUCAUGACCUGAGCUGAAGUCGGAUGCUUAACUGAAUGAGUCAACCAGGCACCCUGGGUACGUACAUUUUUACAAUUGUUUUAUUCUCUUGUUGGAUUACUCCCUUUAUCAUUAACUAGCUAAUGUUGUUGUCUCUUGUUACAGUUGUUGCUUAAGGUCUAUUUUAUCUAAUAUCAGGUACAGUUACCCAACUUUUUUAGUGCUUCCAUUUGCAUGGUAAAUGUUUUUACAUCCCUUUGCUUUCAAUCUGCAUGUGUCUUUAGGUCUGAAGUAAGUCUCUUGUAGGCGGCAUGUAUAUAGGUCUUGCUUUUUAAUCCAGUCACUCUAUGUCUUUUGAUUGGAGUUAUUAUUCCAUUUACAUUCAAAGUAAUUAUCAAUAGGUAUGUCUUUACUGACAUUUUGUAACUUGUUUUAUGGUUGUUUGUGUAGUUCUUCCCUGUUUCUUUCUUUGCUUGCUCUCUUCCCUUGUGGUGCUCUGGCCUUCUUUAAUGAUAUACUUGUCUUCCUUCCUUUUUAUUUUUUUGCGUAUCUGCUAUAGAUUUGUGAUUUGUGGUUACUAUUUGGUUAUAUAUAACAUCUUAUGCAUACAGCAGUCUACAUUAGAUUGGCGGUUGCUUAAAUUGGGAUCCAUUCUAAAAGCACCAGAUUUUUACCCCCCUCCAAGUUUUAUGUGUAUAUUUUAAACAUCCUUUUAUUUGUGAAUCCCUUAACUGAUGUUUAUACAUAUAAUUGAUUUUACUGUUCUUCUGUUUUAUCUCUGUAUUUGUAUCAUAUGUACAUAUCUAGUACAUGUACUUAUUUUAUUUCACUUUAAUUUUAAAUUUAUUUAAUCUCUACACAGUGUAUACAGAGCAAGAGUCAUAUGCAGAGAUCAAGAGUCAUAUGCUCUUCCCACUGAGCCAGCCAGGUGCCUCAAAUCUGGUACUUUUCUUGUUUUUAUUUGCUUAUGCCAGAUUUUUUUCAUAUUUUCUUCUGUUUAUAGCCUUUUCUUUCCACUCACAGUCCAUUUUAACAUUUCUUUUAUGACUGAUUUAGUGGUGAUGAACAUUUUUAACUUGUGUCUGUGAACUCUUUGUUUCUCUUUGUAUUUUGAAUGAUAGCCUUGCUGGGUAGAAUAUUUUUGGUUGCAGGUUCUUUCCCUUUCAGCACUCUGAAUAGAUCCAUCUCCCUCCUUUCUGGCCUGCAAAGUUUCUGAUGAAAAAAUCAGCUGACAGCCUGAUGCGUUUCCCUUGUAGGUGCCUGUUUUCUUUUCUCUUGCUGUUCUUAAGAUUCACUUUUUAUCACUACUUUUUGCCAUUCUAAUUAUUAUAUGUCUUGGUGUGAACCUCCUUGAGUUGAUUUUGUUGGGGUCUCUCUGUACCUCCUAGAUUUGGAUUUGUUUCCUUCCCCAGAUUAGGGAAGUUUUCAGCUAUUAUUUCCUUAAAUACAUUUUCUCCCCUUUUUUCUUUCUGUUCUCCUUCUAAGAUCCCUAUAAUGUGAUUGUUAUUACACUUGAUAAUAAUCCUGAGUUCCUUUAAUCUGUUCUCCAUUUUUAUUAUUAUUUUUCUUACUGCUUUUCAGCUGGUUGCUGUCCUCCAGGCUGCUGAUCCAUUCUUCUGCUUCCUUUCUAGUCUACUAUUUAUUUCCUAUAUGUAGUUUUAAAUGUUUAUUUAUUUUGAGAGACUGAGUGAGUGGGGGAGGGGCAGAGAGAGAGAGACUCCCACGCAGGCUCUGUGAUGUCAGCAUGGACAACAACGUGGGGCUCAAUCCCAGGAACUGUGAGAUCACAACCUGAGCUGAAACCAAGAGUCCAACACUCAACCGACUGAGCCACACGUGCGCCCCUCCCUAUAGUGUAUUUUAAUUUCAGUUAUUUAGUUCUUCAUUUCUGAUUGGUUGUUUGUUUAUUUUAGGUUUUCUGUCUCUUUGUUGAAGGUCUCAGUGAGAUCCUCCACUCUGUUCUCUCAUCCAGUAUCUUUAUGACCAUCUCUAUCAGGGUGAUAUUCAUCAGAAGCUAUGGAGAGAGUCCACCCCAGUGGAGCAGGUUGAAUGGAGUGAGUCUUCAGUAGAACACAGGGCGUGUGGUGUUAGCAAGAAACAGGUAUAAAUGUGAUGGAUAAAAGGAAAAAUAAAAACAGACUCAGUUGAAAGCUUACCUAUGAAAAUAACAGGAAAUAAUCUUCCUUUCAGAGGAGAAAGUAGAAAAAUAAUUGUUGGGCUGCAGAAAGAGGCAGAAUCUUAGGUGGAGUAAAGGCAUGUCAUUUUACUCCUCCAGCUUACCACAAGAAAACACUGUGGACAAAUACCAGAGUCACCUUCAGAAGAUUGUAAAUGGAAAAGAACAGAAGGCUGUCUGGCUAAGGAGCCAGGGAUGGAGUCACCCCGUGGAGAUGAGUCUCCUAUUGCUUUGUUUAUUUUUUCCUUGCCUCUGGUAUAUAUCUGACUGGGAAGUAGGAAAGACCACAACCCCAUAAAUAAAUAUCCAUAGUUUUAAUCAGUAAAGACUCCCUGCAAAGCCUCCUCUCUCUCUAUUCACAAAACUGUUUUGGCCAAAGUUGGCCCAGCAGAACAAAAACCGUUUAACCAUACCGACCUGUUGCCUAGACCAAUACCAGGGAAGAAAUUGUGCCCUUUCCCCAUCCCAUGGGGUGAAUUCUUUUGAAAUUAUCUAAAAGCACCCAGAUUGUGAGCUGGGGAGCCAAUGUCUCUCUGAGGGUUGGGGGAGUCCUCUGGACACUGAAUAUAGUCUUUGCUGUGAAACCCGGGUUCUGCUUUCCUUUUUGAGAUUCCAUUAAAAGUUCUGUGGUAGGACCCACUCAGCCCAGCCAUGAUCAUGCUCUUGCCCCCCACCCCCCCCGCCAUGAUCAAACUCUUCUGUGGGCUGUCAUAUUAGAUGAAUAUAAGACUUCUCUCUUGAGGGUUUUCACCUUGACAUUUUCUAGAAAAACCUAGUCACCUCUUCACCUCAUUUAUCUACAAAUUAAAGGCUAUCAUGGAGAGUUUUCAGAUUAACUGAUUCACUUUCUUUGCCCUUACUGCUUUUGUGACGGAGGUGACUUAGGUGACAGGAAAAGCCUGUGAUGAACUGUAAUCAGGAAUCAUGUUUUACUAAGUUAUAUACAGAACUGCACAAAAUAGUGCUAAAGCACGAGCAGUUGGAAAUGUUAAAAUCUGACUUUCUUUGGGUAAUUUGAUGACCUUGAGUAAAUCAUUUAAACUCUCUCUUACCUUUGUCUGCAAAUACCUACAGUAUACUUUUUAAAGUCCCAGAAAUGCUAUGAAUAUAUAAUUGUUUCAAGAGUGGAAAACUAUUCUAUUUCAAAAAGAAUGACAGUAUAAAUUCAAUAAGAAUGUAUGAUUUCGUGCAGUAAUGAGUGAUGAAUAAAAAGAUUCUCUCUCUCUUUGCCUUUUUCCGGCUGCACACUGGUACUCUGAAAUGUACUUGUUAUGCCUCGUCCUUCUCCACACGGAGCUGGUUAGGCACAGACUCAAUGAAUAGAUUCACCUUUAAUGUUCUUUAAGUUCCAUUCAAGCCACCAUUUCACUGUAUGCACUUUACCUCAAAUAAUAAGUUCGUUUACACGUAUUCAAUUCUAAAUACAAUAUAGUGCUGGUAUUGAAUAGUACCUAAUCAGUAGCAAAAAUAUGUGACAAAGCCUUGUCCACUUAACUUUUUUCUCUCCAGACUGACUGUAGUAGGUACUAAUUACUAUACUCUUUCAUAUUAAAGUAAUCUGUGAU
This is a long non-coding RNA of Acinonyx jubatus (cheetah), 4305 nucleotides long. RefSeq lists it as uncharacterized. The transcript is spliced from 5 exons. NCBI's taxonomy places the organism in Eukaryota, Metazoa, Chordata, Mammalia, Carnivora, Felidae. The record is from RefSeq and is a predicted model, not a curated record.